GGGGACUUCGACUCUUUGUUACAUACCAUAAGCAACCUCUGUGCUAAUGUGGUUGUUUUGGACUUCCCACCACGGCUCAUCGUCGAGGAGAGGGAGCAGGCACUCCUGCGACAGGAGUACAGCCGUGUAGCAGCCAAGAGAAGUGUUCGGUACCUACCGGUCACUGAGCACUUCCCUCUCAGCCACCUGGACAUGUGGAGUAGGGAUG
Fundulus heteroclitus (mummichog) is the source of this 208-nucleotide long non-coding RNA. RefSeq lists it as uncharacterized. The record is from RefSeq and is a predicted model, not a curated record. Lineage: Eukaryota; Metazoa; Chordata; Actinopteri; Cyprinodontiformes; Fundulidae. The transcript is spliced from 3 exons.